AACGUAGGAGACAAACGUUAUCCGGAGUUACUGGGCGUAAAGGGCGUGUAGGCGGUUAGUUAAGUCUGGCGUGAAAGCUCUCGGCUAAACCGGGAGAGGUCGUUGGAUACUGGCUGACUAGAGGACGGUAGAGGCGUGUGGAAUUGCAGGUGUAGCGGUGAAAUGCGUAGAUAUCUGCAGGAACACCCGUGGCGAAAGCGGCGCGCUGGACCACUACUGACGCUGAGGAACGAAAGCUAGGGGAGCAAACAGG
Molecule: ribosomal RNA, 253 nt
Filed under: uncultured bacterium
Lineage: Bacteria
Description: partial 16S ribosomal RNA
Rfam family: Bacterial small subunit ribosomal RNA
Source: RNAcentral